RNAcentral lists this transfer RNA (1188 nucleotides) under Kluyveromyces marxianus. RNAcentral describes it as "tRNA-Ala". Lineage: Eukaryota; Fungi; Ascomycota; Saccharomycetes; Saccharomycetales; Saccharomycetaceae. The record is from RNAcentral.
AUGCUUUCAGUUAAGACUAAGAACAUUGUUAAGGCUACCGUGCCUGCCCUUGAACAAAAUGGUGUUACCAUCACCAAAACGUUUUAUAAAAACAUGUUAGGUGAACACCCAGAACUUUUGAAUACUUUCAAUAAAGUUAAUCAGCAAAAAGGUAAGCAGCCUGCUGCUUUAGCAAUGACUGUUUUAGCUGCUGCAAAAAACAUCGAUGAUUUAUCGGUCUUAAUGCCAGCGGUUAACCAAAUUGGCCACAAACAUCGUGCUUUGCAGGUUCAACCAGCACAAUAUGAUAUUGUUGGUAAGUACUUGUUGCUAGCUAUUAAGGAGGUGUUAGGAAAUGCUGCUACCCCAGAUAUUAUGACAGCUUGGGCAGAGGCCUACAAAGUAAUUGCAGACAUUUUCAUUUCUGUUGAAAAACAAAUGUAUAAGGAAGCCCAAUGGGACUCCUGGAAGCCAUUUACAGUUACCAAGAAGACUCCAGUUGCUAAGGAUAUUGUUGAGUUUUGUGUGGAACCAGUUGAAGGAUCUGGUAUUGAGCUUUCAAAGCUCAAAAUUAUUCCAGGUCAAUAUUUGACGGUAAAAACCCAUCCAACAACCCACGAUAACAAGUAUGAUGCGCUAAGACAUUACUCCAUUUGUUCUGACUCCACUGAUGGUGGGCUCAAGUUCUCUGUCAAGUACGAACAUGGCAACAUUCAAGAUGGUCUAGUUUCUGAAUAUCUCCAUAAAUACAUCAAAGUUGGUGACACGAUUGAAUUAAGUGCUCCAGCUGGUGAUUUUGAAUUGAAUCAGGAAUUGAUUAAGCAAGAAGAGGUUCCAUUAGUGCUGGUGAGUGCUGGUGUUGGCGCUACGCCAUUAGUUGCUAUGCUUGAGUUCCAGUUAGAGCAUAAUCCUAAGAGACCUGUCUUGUGGAUUCAAUCAUCUUUAAAUGAAGAGUCCCAAGCUUUUAAGGAUCACGUGAAUAGUCUAUUGGGAAAGUUUGACAAUGCUAAGGCUGAAUUAGUAUAUACCAGUACAAUGCCUAGAAUUGAUGGGGCAUACCUUGAAAAGCAUAUUGCAUCACCAUCUGAUGUUUAUAUUUGUGGCUCUAUUGAAUUCAUGUCUAGCCUAAUGGAUGCCUUGAAGCAAUUGGGACAUGAAGAUAAAAUGAUUCAUUAUGAACCAUUUGGUCCAAAGAUGUCUUUGGCCUAG